Molecule: ribosomal RNA, 253 nt
Filed under: uncultured bacterium
Lineage: Bacteria
Description: partial 16S ribosomal RNA
Rfam family: Bacterial small subunit ribosomal RNA
Source: RNAcentral
GACGAACCGUGCGAACGUUAUUCGGAAUCACUGGGCUUAAAGCGCGUGUAGGCGGGCCGGCACGUCGAUGCUGAAAGCCCCCGGCUCAACCGGGGAACGGGCGUCGAUACGACCGGCCUGGAGGGGGGUAGGGGGAGCCGGAACUUCCGGUGGAGCGGUGAAAUGCGUUGAGAUCGGAAGGAACGCCCGUGGCGAAAGCGGGCUCCUGGACCCCACCUGACGCUGAGACGCGAAAGCCAGGGGAGCGAACGGG